GGCGAACGCUGGCGGCGUGCUUAACACAUGCAAGUCGAACGGAAAGGCCCUGCUUUUGUGGGGUGCUCGAGUGGCGAACGGGUGAGUAACACGUGAGUAACCUGCCCUUGACUUUGGGAUAACUUCAGGAAACUGGGGCUAAUACCGGAUAGGAGCUCCUGCUGCAUGGUGGGGGUUGGAAAGUUUCGGCGGUUGGGGAUGGACUCGCGGCUUAUCAGCUUGUUGGUGGGGUAGUGGCUUACCAAGGCUUUGACGGGUAGCCGGCCUGAGAGGGUGACCGGCCACAUUGGGACUGAGAUACGGCCCAGACUCCUACGGGAGGCAGCAGUGGGGAAUAUUGCACAAUGGGCGGAAGCCUGAUGCAGCAACGCCACGUGCGGGAUGACGGCCUUCGGGUUGUAAACCGCUUUCGCCUGUGACGAAGCGUGAGUGACGGUAAUGGGUAAAGAAGCACCGGCUAACUACGUG
RNAcentral lists this ribosomal RNA (468 nucleotides) under uncultured bacterium. RNAcentral's name for it is "partial 16S ribosomal RNA". It matches the Rfam family "Bacterial small subunit ribosomal RNA", at positions 28 to 507 of the family's 1533-position model. The record is from RNAcentral.